UGAACACAGCCAAGCUCAGAGCUUGGGAAAAUUUAAUAUGCACCACCACAGACCUGCAAGCAUGAGCUAAAGGAAUUUAGGAGUGCUGGAGAGGAGGAAUGGUAAACUGAAAACUCAGCCAUUUAGCCACUGCAAAUGUAAAGGACAUGCUUUCAUUAAUUACUAAGAAGUGCCGAAAGAAUGAGUUCCUGAGAAAAACUGUCUGCUCAGGUUCCUCUUGUUGUCCAAUCAUUCCUUGCUUCAGUCUCUGCUCACAGGAUUCUGCGCCGGGCUGCCCUGGCCCAUGACCGAGUGCACGACUCAUCCCUUUCCCAGGGAGGCAGAUGUUCCCCCGGUCUCUGCAGUGCUGAAGACUGGAAACUAGCUCCUCCUAUGAUAUCUAAUCUUGAUCCAGCUGGCAGCUCCUAUCCAACAAUAAAGGUUAGCACAGGCCCUUGCUAGCUUGAGGA
This 449-nucleotide long non-coding RNA is filed under the name Numida meleagris (helmeted guineafowl). RNAcentral's name for it is "lncRNA (ENSNMEG00000006372.1)". The record is from RNAcentral. Lineage: Eukaryota; Metazoa; Chordata; Aves; Galliformes; Numididae.